GACGUAGGGCGCGAGCGUUGUCCGGAAUUAUUGGGCGUAAAGAGCUCGUAGGCGGUCUGUCGCGUCUGCUGUGAAAACUCAGGGCUUAACCCUGAGCUUGCAGUGGGUACGGGCAGACUAGAGUGCGGUAGGGGAGACUGGAAUUCCUGGUGUAGCGGUGAAAUGCGUAGAUAUCUGGAGGAACACCGGUGGCGAAGGCGGCGUUCUGGACUGCAACUGACACUGAGGAACGAAAGCCAGGGGAGCAAACGGG
This 253-nucleotide ribosomal RNA is filed under the name uncultured bacterium. RNAcentral describes it as "partial 16S ribosomal RNA". It matches the Rfam family "Bacterial small subunit ribosomal RNA", at positions 524 to 776 of the family's 1533-position model. The record is from RNAcentral.